GGGGAGCAUCCAGAAUCUGAGAUGUUACCUGAUAUAAUCUUCCUACAUUAAAACUCGUUAUAUUUGCUUGUAGUGCUUUAGUAAACUCUGCAAGUAAAAAAUGAGAUACAUGA
This 113-nucleotide small nucleolar RNA is filed under the name Olea europaea subsp. europaea. RNAcentral's name for it is "Small nucleolar RNA snoR104". It matches the Rfam family "Small nucleolar RNA snoR104". Lineage: Eukaryota; Viridiplantae; Streptophyta; Magnoliopsida; Lamiales; Oleaceae. The record is from Rfam by way of RNAcentral.